UUCCGGUUGAUCCCGCCAGACCUGACUGCUAUCGGAUUGAUACUAAGCCAUGCGAGUCGUUGUAGCAAUACAAGGCAUACGGCUCAGUAACGCGUAGUCAACCUAACCUAUGGACGGGAAUAACCUCGGGAAACUGAGAAUAAUGCCCGAUAGAACAUUAUGCCUGGAAUGGUUUAUGUUCCAAAUGAUUUAUCGCCAUAGGAUGGGACUGCGGCCUAUCAGUUUGUUGGUGAGGUAAUGGCCCACCAAGACUAUUACAGGUACGGGCUCUGAGAGGAGUAGCCCGGAGAUGGGUACUGAGACACGGACCCAGGCCCUAUGGGGCGCAGCAGGCGAGAAAACUUUGCAAUGUGCGAAAGCACGACAAGGUUAAUCCGAGUGAUUUCUGCUAAAGAGAUCUUUUGUUAGUCCUAGAAACACUAACGAAUAAGGGGUGGGCAAGUUCUGGUGUCAGCCGCCGCGGUAAAACCAGCACCUCAAGUGGUCAGGAUGAUUAUUGGGCCUAAAGCAUCCGUAGCCGGCUCUGUAAGUUUUCGGUUAAAUCUGUACGCUCAACGUACAGGCUGCCGGAAAUACUGCAGAACUAGGGAGUGGGAGAGGUAGACGGUACUCGGUAGGAAGUGGUAAAAUGCUUUGAUCUAUCGAUGACCACCUGUGGCGAAGGCGGUCUACCAGAACACGUCCGACGGUGAGGGAUGAAAGCUGGGGGAGCAAACCGGAUUAGAUACCCGGGUAGUCCCAGCUGUAAACUAUGCAAACUCAGUGAUGCAUUGGCUUGUGGCCAAUGCAGUGCUGCAGGGAAGCCGUUAAGUUUGCCGCCUGGGAAGUACGUACGCAAGUAUGAAACUUAAAGGAAUUGGCGGGGGAGCACCACAAGGGGUGAAGCCUGCGGUUCAA
This 897-nucleotide ribosomal RNA is filed under the name uncultured archaeon. RNAcentral's name for it is "bacterial SSU rRNA". It matches the Rfam family "Archaeal small subunit ribosomal RNA", at positions 1 to 905 of the family's 1478-position model. The record is from RNAcentral.